AUACGGAGGAUCCGAGCGUUAUCCGGAUUUAUUGGGUUUAAAGGGUGCGCAGGCGGCCAUUUAAGUCAGCGGUUAAAUCGUGGGGCUCAACCCCAUUCUGCCGUUGAUACUGGGUGGCUUGAUUGCGGUCGAGGUUGGCGGAAUUCGUUGUGUAGCGGUGAAAUGCAUAGAUAUGACGAAGAACACCGAUUGCGUAGGCAGCUGACCAGACCGCAAAUGACGCUCAUGCACGAAAGUGCGGGGAUCGAACAGGAUUAGAUACCCUGGUAGUCCGCACAGUAAACGAUGAAUACUUGUUUUCGGCGAUAUACAGUAAGCGGCCAAGCGAAAGCAUUAAGUAUUCCACCUGGGGAGUACGCCGGCAACGGUGAAACUCAAAUGAAUUGGCGGGG
Molecule: ribosomal RNA, 392 nt
Filed under: uncultured bacterium
Lineage: Bacteria
Description: partial 16S ribosomal RNA
Rfam family: Bacterial small subunit ribosomal RNA
Source: RNAcentral